AGUACCCUUAGGAAAAGAAAUCAAUUGAGAUUCCCUCAGUAGCGGCGAGCGAACGGGGAUCAGCCCAUUAAGUUAUGUGUGUUUUAGUGGAACGCUCUGGGAAGUGCGAACGUAGAGGGUGAUAUUCCCGUACACGAAAGGGCACACAUAAUGAUGACGAGUAGGGCGAGGCACGUGAAACCUUGUCUGAAUAUGGGGGGACCAUCCUCCAAGGCUAAAUACUCCUGACUGACCGAUAGUGAACCAGUACCGUGAGGGAAAGGCGAAAAGAACCCCUGUGAGGGGAGUGAAAUAGAUCCUGAAACCGCAUGCAUACAAGCAGUGGGAGCACCUUCGUGGUGUGACUGCGUACCUUUUGUAUAAUGGGUCAGCGACUUAUAUUCAGUAGCAAGGUUAACCGUAUAGGGGAGCCGUAGAGAAAUCGAGUCUUAAUAGGGCGUUUAGUUGCUGGGUAUAGACCCGAAACCAGGCGAUCUAUCCAUGAGCAGGUUGAAGGUUGGGUAACACUAACUGGAGGACCGAACCCACUGUCGUUGAAAAGCCAGGGGAUGACUUGUGGAUAGGGGUGAAAGGCUAAUCAAGCCUGGUGAUAGCUGGUUCUCCCCGAAAGCUAUUUAGGUAGCGCCUCGGACGAAUACCAUAGGGGGUAGAGCACUGUUUCGGCUAGGGGGUCAUCCCGACUUACCAAACCGAUGCAAACUCCGAAUACCUAUGAGUACUAUCCGGGAGACAGACUGCGGGUGCUAACGUCCGUAGUCAAGAGGAAAACAAUCCAGACCGCCAGCUAAGGCCCCAAAAUCAUAGUUAAGUGGGAAACGAUGUGGGAAGGCAUAGACAGCUAGGAGGUUGGCUUAGAAGCAGCCACCCUUUAAAGAAAGCGUAAUAGCUCACUAGUCGAGUCGGCCUGCGCGGAAGAUGUAACGGGGCUAAAACUAUGUGCCGAAGCUGCGGAUGUAUACUUUGUAUACGUGGUAGGGGAGCGUUCUGUAAGCCGAUGAAGGUGUGUUGAGAAGCAUGCUGGAGGUAUCAGAAGUGCGAAUGCUGACGUGAGUAACGACAAAACGGGUGAAAAACCCGUUCGCCGAAAGACCAAGGGUUCCAGUCCAACGUUAAUCGGGGCUGGGUGAGUCGACCCCUAAGGCGAGGCCGAAAGGCGUAGUCGAUGGGAAAAUGGUUAAUAUUCCAUUACUUCUGUGUAAUGCGAUGAGAGGACGGAGAAGGCUAAAUCAGCCUGGCGUUGGUUGUCCAGGUGAAAGGAUGUAGGCAUGUAUCUUAGGCAAAUCCGGGGUACUCUAUGCUGAGAUCUGAUAGCAAGCUGUACUUGUACAGCGAAGUGGUUGAUGCCAUGCUUCCAGGAAAAGUCUCUAAGCUUCAGUUACACAGGAAUCGUACCCGAAACCGACACAGGUGGUCAGGUCGAGUAGACCAAGGCGCUUGAGAGAACUCUGCUGAAGGAACUAGGCAAAAUGGUACCGUAACUUCGGGAGAAGGUACGCUGUUGUUGGUGAUGGAACUCGCUUCCUGAGCUGACGACAGCCGCAGAAACCAGGCCGCUGCAACUGUUUAUUAAAAACAUAGCACUCUGCAAACACGAAAGUGGACGUAUAGGGUGUGAUGCCUGCCCGGUGCUGGAAGGUUAAUUGAUGGGGUUAGCGUAAGCGAAGCUCUUGAUCGAAGCCCCAGUAAACGGCGGCCGUAACUAUAACGGUCCUAAGGUAGCGAAAUUCCUUGUCGGGUAAGUUCCGACCUGCACGAAUGGCAUAAUGAUGGCGGCGCUGUCUCCAGCAGAGGCUCAGUGAAAUCGAAAUCGCUGUGAAGAUGCAGUGUACCCGCGGCUAGACGGAAAGACCCCGUGAACCUUUACUGCAGCUUGACACUGAACUUUGACCUUACUUGUGUAGGAUAGGUGGGAGGCUUUGAAGCUGGAACGCUAGUUCCAGUGGAGCCGUCCUUGAAAUACCACCCUGGUAAUGUUGAGGUUCUAACUCUGUCCCGUGAUCCGGGACGAGGACCGUGUCUGGUGGGUAGUUUGACUGGGGCGGUCUCCUCCUAAAGAGUAACGGAGGAGUACGAAGGUGCGCUCAGCGUGGUCGGAAAUCACGCGUAGAGUAUAAAGGCAAAAGCGCGCUUAACUGCGAGACCCACAAGUCGAGCAGGUACGAAAGUAGGUCUUAGUGAUCCGGUGGUUCUGUAUGGAAGGGCCAUCGCUCAACGGAUAAAAGGUACUCUGGGGAUAACAGGCUGAUACCGCCCAAGAGUUCAUAUCGACGGCGGUGUUUGGCACCUCGAUGUCGGCUCAUCUCAUCCUGGGGCUGAAGCAGGUCCCAAGGGUAUGGCUGUUCGCCAUUUAAAGAGGUACGCGAGCUGGGUUUAGAACGUCGUGAGACAGUUCGGUCCCUAUCUACCGUGGGCGCUGGAAAUUUGAGAGGAUCUGCUCCUAGUACGAGAGGACCAGAGUGGACGAACCUCUGGUGUACCGGUUGUGACGCCAGUCGCAUCGCCGGGUAGCUAUGUUCGGAAGGGAUAACCGCUGAAAGCAUCUAAGCGGGAAGCCUACCUCAAGAUAAGAUUUCCCUAGGACUUUAUGUCCUCUAAAGAGCCGUUCGAGACUAGGCGUUGAUAGGUUGGAUGUGGAAGCAUAGUGAUAUGUGAAGCUGACCAAUACUAAUUGCUCGUGAGGCUUGACUAUACAACACCCAAGCAGUUG
Molecule: ribosomal RNA, 2707 nt
Filed under: Acinetobacter baumannii
Lineage: Bacteria; Pseudomonadati; Pseudomonadota; Gammaproteobacteria; Moraxellales; Moraxellaceae
Description: partial 23S ribosomal RNA
Rfam family: Bacterial large subunit ribosomal RNA
Source: RNAcentral